GAUGAACGCUAGCGGCGGGCUUAAUACAUGCAAGUCGAACGGUAAGUUUGGUAGCAAUAUCAAACCAAGAGUGACGUACGGGUGCGUAACACGUAUGCAACCUACCUUGUACAGGAGUAUAGCUCGGGGAAACUCGAAUUAACCCUCCAUGAGAUCAUAGAAUGGCAUCAUUUAGUGAUUAAAACUCAGGUGGUACAAGAUGGGCAUGCGUCUGAUUAGUUAGNGGCGGGGUAAUGGCCCACCAAGACGAUGAUCAGUAGGGGACCUGAGAGGGUGAUCCCC
RNAcentral lists this ribosomal RNA (282 nucleotides) under uncultured bacterium. RNAcentral describes it as "partial 16S ribosomal RNA". It matches the Rfam family "Bacterial small subunit ribosomal RNA", at positions 28 to 308 of the family's 1533-position model. The record is from RNAcentral.